Pelobates cultripes (western spadefoot toad) is the source of this 229-nucleotide non-coding RNA. The record is from the annotation of a GenBank genome assembly. NCBI's taxonomy places the organism in Eukaryota, Metazoa, Chordata, Amphibia, Anura, Pelobatidae.
GUACUCCUGGAACCCAUCUAGAAGGUAGCCGGAGCGUUUUUCAUCCCAAACGGCAUGACUUUAAAGUGGUACAGGCCGAAUGGGGUGACAAAGGCUGACUUGGGAUGGUGUCCGGAGACAAGGGAAUCGGUCAAUACCCCUUACAUAGAUCAAUAGAAGUGAGGUAUUGGCCUCUGGCCAUCCGGUCUAGCAGUCAUCUAUCCUGGCAUAGGAUACGCGUCUGAUACUG